UGGGGAAUUUUGGACAAUGGGCGAAAGCCUGAUCCAGCAAUGCCGCGUGUGUGAAGAAGGCCUUCGGGUUGUAAAGCACUUUUGUCCGGAAAGAAAUCCUUGGCUCUAAUACAGUCGGGGGAUGACGGUACCGGAAGAAUAAGCACCGGCUAACUACGUGCCAGCAGCCGCGGUAAUACGUAGGGUGCAAGCGUUAAUCGGAAUUACUGGGCGUAAAGCGUGCGCAGGCGGUUUGCUAAGACCGAUGUGAAAUCCCCGGGCUCAACCUGGGAACUGCAUUGGUGACUGGCAGGCUAGAGUAUGGCAGAGGGGGGUAGAAUUCCACGUGUAGCAGUGAAAUGCGUAGAGAUGUGGAGGAAUACCGAUGGCGAAGGCAGCCCCCUGGGCCAAUACUGACGCUCAUGCACGAAAAGCGUGGGGAGCAAAACAGGAUUAGAUACCCUGGUAGUCCACGCCCUAAAACGAUGUCAACUAGUUGUUGGGGAUUCAUUUCCUUAGUAACGUAGCUAACGCGUGAAGUUGACUGCCUGGGGAGUACGGUCGCAAGAUUAAAACUCAAAUGAAUUGACGGGGUCAUAGCUGUUUCCU
Molecule: ribosomal RNA, 588 nt
Filed under: uncultured bacterium
Lineage: Bacteria
Description: partial 16S ribosomal RNA
Rfam family: Bacterial small subunit ribosomal RNA
Source: RNAcentral